GACGAACGCUGGCGGCGUGCUUAACACAUGCAAGUCGAACGCUGAAGCUCAGCUUUUGUUGGGUGGAUGAGUGGCGAACGGGUGAGUAACACGUGAGUAACCUGCCCCCUUCUUUGGGAUAACGCCCGGAAACGGGUGCUAAUACUGGAUAUUCACUGGUCUUCGCAUGGGGGUUGGUGGAAAGGGUUUUUCUGGUGGGGGAUGGGCUCGCGGCCUAUCAGCUUGUUGGUGGGGUGAUGGCCUACCAAGGCUUUGACGGGUAGCCGGCCUGAGAGGGUGACCGGUCACAUUGGGACUGAGAUACGGCCCAGACUCCUACGGGAGGCAGCAGUGGGGAAUAUUGCACAAUGGGCGCAAGCCUGAUGCAGCGACGCCGCGUGAGGGAUGGAGGCCUUCGGGUUGUGAACCUCUUUCGCUCAUGGUCAAGCCGCAACAAUGGUUGUGGUGAGGGUAGUGGGUAAAGAAGCGCCGGCUAACUACG
RNAcentral lists this ribosomal RNA (481 nucleotides) under uncultured bacterium. RNAcentral's name for it is "partial 16S ribosomal RNA". It matches the Rfam family "Bacterial small subunit ribosomal RNA", at positions 28 to 505 of the family's 1533-position model. The record is from RNAcentral.